This 1483-nucleotide ribosomal RNA is filed under the name uncultured bacterium. RNAcentral's name for it is "16S ribosomal RNA". It matches the Rfam family "Bacterial small subunit ribosomal RNA". The record is from RNAcentral.
GAUUAUGGCUCAGGAUGAACGCUAGCUACAGGCUUAACACAUGCAAGUCGAGGGGCAGCAUUUUAGUUUGCUUGCAAACUAAAGAUGGCGACCGGCGCACGGGUGAGUAACACGUAUCCAACCUGCCGAUAACUCGGGGAUAGCCUUUCGAAAGAAAGAUUAAUAUCCGAUAGUAUAUUAAAACCGCAUGGUUUUACUAUUAAAGAAUUUCGGUUAUCGAUGGGGAUGCGUUCCAUUAGUUUGUUGGCGGGGUAACGGCCCACCAAGACUACGAUGGAUAGGGGUUCUGAGAGGAAGGUCCCCCACAUUGGAACUGAGACACGGUCCAAACUCCUACGGGAGGCAGCAGUGAGGAAUAUUGGUCAAUGGACGAGAGUCUGAACCAGCCAAGUAGCGUGAAGGAUGACUGCCCUAUGGGUUGUAAACUUCUUUUAUAUGGGAAUAAAGUAUUCCACGUGUGGGAUUUUGUAUGUACCAUAUGAAUAAGGAUCGGCUAACUCCGUGCCAGCAGCCGCGGUAAUACGGAGGAUCCGAGCGUUAUCCGGAUUUAUUGGGUUUAAAGGGAGCGUAGGUGGAUUGUUAAGUCAGUUGUGAAAGUUUGCGGCUCAACCGUAAAAUUGCAGUUGAAACUGGCAGUCUUGAGUACAGUAGAGGUGGGCGGAAUUCGUGGUGUAGCGGUGAAAUGCUUAGAUAUCACGAAGAACUCCGAUUGCGAAGGCAGCUCACUAGACUGCAACUGACACUGAUGCUCGAAAGUGUGGGUAUCAAACAGGAUUAGAUACCCUGGUAGUCCACACAGUAAACGAUGAAUACUCGCUGUUUGCGAUAUACAGUAAGCGGCCAAGCGAAAGCAUUAAGUAUUCCACCUGGGGAGUACGCCGGCAACGGUGAAACUCAAAGGAAUUGACGGGGGCCCGCACAAGCGGAGGAACAUGUGGUUUAAUUCGAUGAUACGCGAGGAACCUUACCCGGGCUUAAAUUGCAUUUGAAUAAUCUGGAAACAGGUUAGCCGCAAGGCAAAUGUGAAGGUGCUGCAUGGUUGUCGUCAGCUCGUGCCGUGAGGUGUCGGCUUAAGUGCCAUAACGAGCGCAACCCUUAUCUUUAGUUACUAACAGGUCAUGCUGAGGACUCUAGAGAGACUGCCGUCGUAAGAUGUGAGGAAGGUGGGGAUGACGUCAAAUCAGCACGGCCCUUACGUCCGGGGCUACACACGUGUUACAAUGGGGGGUACAGAAGGCAGCUACCUGGCGACAGGAUGCUAAUCCCAAAAACCUCUCUCAGUUCGGAUCGAAGUCUGCAACCCGACUUCGUGAAGCUGGAUUCGCUAGUAAUCGCGCAUCAGCCAUGGCGCGGUGAAUACGUUCCCGGGCCUUGUACACACCGCCCGUCAAGCCAUGAAAGCCGGGGGUACCUGAAGUACGUAACCGCAAGGAGCGUCCUAGGGUAAAACUGGUAAUUGGGGCUAAGUCGUAACAAGGUAUCC